This 442-nucleotide ribosomal RNA is filed under the name uncultured bacterium. RNAcentral's name for it is "partial 16S ribosomal RNA". It matches the Rfam family "Bacterial small subunit ribosomal RNA", at positions 339 to 795 of the family's 1533-position model. The record is from RNAcentral.
CUACGGGCUGCUCCAGUGGGGAAUAUUGGACAAUGGACCAAAAGUCUGAUCCAGCAAUUCUGUGUGUUUGAUGAAGGCCUUCGGGUUGUAAAGAACUUUAAGUAGGGAAGAAGAAAGUGACGGUACCUACAGAAUAAGCGACGGCUAAAUACGUGCCAGCAGCCGCGGUAAUACGUAUGUCGCAAGCGUUAUCCGGAAUUAUUGGGCAUAAAGCGCGUCUAGGCGGUUUACUAAGUCUGAUGUGAAAAUGCGGGGCUCAACUCCGUAUUGCGUUGGAAACUGGUAGACUAGAGUAUUGGAGAGGUAGGCGGAACUACAAGUGUAGAGGUGAUAUUCGUAGAUAUUUGUAGGAAUGCCAAUGACGAAGGUAGCUUACUGGACAAAUACUGACGCUGAAGCGCGAAAGCUAGGGGAGCAAACAGGAUUAGAUACCCGCGUAGUC